CGGCUGGCACCAUUCACCUUGUCAAACUUUCUUGGGAUUCUGUUUGACGUCCAUGGCUUUGCAGGUAACCCAGAAAAUUGUCCACGUACUUGUCUUGUUUUUCCCUAUCUCCGAACAAACUUUUCAUUUCUUUGGCCUUUUCUCUGUAAAUUUUACCCUCUUCCUUCACCAUUACUAAUCUCAGUGACUCAGCUACUGAGUCCCUUGAGAAAUAUCCAUCAAACUCGUUCCUUGGUAUUGGGUAACCCAUGUUCUUCUCCUCCAAAAUCCUAGCAUUAAAACCUUGGUCCGCCAAGAAUGUCAAGAGAAUAAGAGCUCUCUCAUGUUGAAGUGCCUCCACAACUGAGCUCCACCCAGAGUGAGUCAAGAAACCACCAACUGAGUCAUGAGCUAAGAUCUUGAGCUGAGGAGCCCAACUAAUGCACACCACACCACGUCCUUUGGUUCGCUCCUCAAACCCANNNNNNNNNNNNNAUCAGCUAAGCCACGACGCAUUCUCAACACCCAAAAGAAUGGCAACCCAGAUAACUCUAAC
This 535-nucleotide unclassified non-coding RNA is filed under the name Hevea brasiliensis (rubber tree). Lineage: Eukaryota; Viridiplantae; Streptophyta; Magnoliopsida; Malpighiales; Euphorbiaceae. The record is from RNAcentral.